RNAcentral lists this ribosomal RNA (231 nucleotides) under uncultured bacterium. RNAcentral's name for it is "partial 16S ribosomal RNA". It matches the Rfam family "Bacterial small subunit ribosomal RNA", at positions 119 to 334 of the family's 1533-position model. The record is from RNAcentral.
GGGUAAUGUGCCUUAUAGUGGGGGAUAACCUCAAGAAAUUGGGGAUAAUACCGCAUGUGGCUUGGAAUCGUUGGAUUCCUCGUCAAAGGUGCGUGCGCUUCGGUGUACGUGUCGCUAUUUGAGCAGCCCGCUCCCGAUAAGCUUGUUGGUGGGGUAACGGCCCACCAAGGCUUUGAUCGGUAGGUGGCCUGAGAGGGUGGUCACUCACACUGGGACUGAGAUACGGCCCAG